Molecule: long non-coding RNA, 112 nt
Organism: Coregonus clupeaformis (lake whitefish)
Lineage: Eukaryota; Metazoa; Chordata; Actinopteri; Salmoniformes; Salmonidae
Exons: 2
Source: RefSeq, a predicted model, not a curated record
AUAGCCUAUUAGCUACUGUAUUCCGAGAUGACUACGUCGGAAGUUGCUCAGGGGCCUUUCCAGGUCUAUCCACAAUCUCCUGCAGUGUCAGUAAAGAAAGGGACAGGUCAGG